Molecule: non-coding RNA, 72 nt
Organism: Pangasianodon gigas (Mekong giant catfish)
Lineage: Eukaryota; Metazoa; Chordata; Actinopteri; Siluriformes; Pangasiidae
Source: the annotation of a GenBank genome assembly
UCUCUGGUGGACUAGUGGCUAGCAUGCAGCACUCUCAUCGCUGCAGUCCGGGUGCGAUUCCCAGUCAGGGAA